RNAcentral lists this long non-coding RNA (232 nucleotides) under Ananas comosus (pineapple). Its description in RNAcentral is "long non-coding RNA (ACOM_LNC036408)". The record is from RNAcentral. Lineage: Eukaryota; Viridiplantae; Streptophyta; Magnoliopsida; Poales; Bromeliaceae.
ACGGAGUGUGCUCGUGGAUUCGGGUGGGCGUCGUGGUUUCGGUGUGAUCAAGGCUUCGUAGGUUCGAAGUGUGGACGUUUUGUGGAUUCGGGACGUGACGUUCGUGGAUUCGGACGUGGGGCGUGGACAACGUGUUUGUGUGCGCGAGAUCCGGAGAAGAUAAAAGAGAGGUUUGAGUCCGUGGAAUCGGUAAAUCACCUUGUAAUCUUUUAUUCUUAGUGGAUUGUUAUCG